Molecule: ribosomal RNA, 2046 nt
Filed under: Plocamium delicatulum
Lineage: Eukaryota; Rhodophyta; Florideophyceae; Plocamiales; Plocamiaceae
Description: partial 28S ribosomal RNA
Rfam family: Eukaryotic large subunit ribosomal RNA
Source: RNAcentral
CGGAGGAAAAGAAACUAACAAGGAUUCCCCUAGUAGCGGCGAGCGAAGCGGGAAAAGCCCAAAAUGAAAAGCCUGCUUGCAGGCGUUGUAUUUGAGCAGCCUUGGGGCGUCAGUGUAGGUAAGUCGCAUGGAAAUGCGUACCGUGGAGGGUGAGAGUCCCGUCCAACCUAUGCAGGACGUUCCGCACAAGGCUGUUUCAGUCGAGUCGGGUAGCUUGGGAAUGCUGCUCUAAUUGGUGGUAAAUCUCAUCAAAGGCUAAAUAACGGUGGGAGACCGAUAGUAAACAAGUACCGUGAGGGAAAGAUGACAAGCACUUUGAAAAGAGGGUGAAAAGAACCUGAAACCGUUACGGGGGAAGCGGAUUGCGUUGGAUUGAUGGGUAUUUGUGUGUUCAGCCAUGAACUAUGUUCUAGGUGCAUUGAUGCAAAUACUUAUCCGCCGUGGGUUUUUGGCAACCGAUUUUGGGUUGCUAGAGGCUGAGGGCUCCCCUUAUAGGGUAAUGAGGACGGCGGAGUGACGACGCGAUACGACCCGUCUUGAAACACGGACCAAGGAGUCUAGCGCAGGUGCGAGUCGGAGGGUUUUCAAACCUGUGGGCGAAGUGAAAGCGAGUUUUGAUUCUAAAACUAGCAGUUUGAGGCGGCAUAGAAUCGUUGAUUCUAGGUCCGACCUGGAGCAGUUGCGCUGGGACCCGAAAGAUGGUGAACUAUGCCGGAGUAGGGCAAAGCCAGAAGAAAUUCUGGUGGAGGCUCGUAGCGGUGCUGACGUGCAAAUCGCUCGUCAAACUUGGGUAUAGGGGCGAAAGACUAAUCGAACCAUCUAGUAGCUGGUUCCCUCCGAAGUUUCUCUCAGGAUAGCGGGCCGACAUGAGUUGUUUUGUGCGGUAAAGCGAAUGAUUAGCGCACUCGGGGACUAAAAGUCUUCGGGCGAUUCUCAAACUUUCAAUGCGCAAGGGUACCGGUGCUUAAUUGAGCGGUACCGAUAAAAACGUCGGCCCUGUGGGCCACUUUUGGUAAGCAGAACUGGCGAUACGGGAUGAACCGUAAGCAUGGUUAAGGCGCCAAAUUGCCCGCUUAUAGAUCCCACAAAAGGUGUUGAUUCAUCGAGACAGCAGGACGGUGGCCAUGGAAGUCGGAAUCCGCUAAGGAGUGUGUAAAAACUCACCUGCCGAAUGAAUUAGCCCUGAAAAUGGAUGGCGCUGAAGCGGGUAGCCGACACCAUGCCGUCUGGGCAAUUUUAAAAAUAAAACUGAUUUCAGAUGAGUAGGAGGGCGUGGUGGCCGUGUCGAAGCUUGCGUGCAGACGCAUGUGGAACGGCCACUAGUGCAGAUCUUGGUGGUAGUAGCAAAUAUUCAAGCGAGAUCCUUGAAGGGCGAAGCGGGGAAGGGUUCCACGCGAACAUUGAUUGGGCGUGGGUGAGUCGUUCCUAAGCCGAGUGGCGAUUGCUAAGUAGCGGCGAAAGGGAAGCGGGUUGACAUUCCCGCACACGGAUGUGGAGGCGGUGACGCUUUUAUUGCGGCGAACACGCUGGCGGUGGCGCUGGGCAGAGUUUUCUUUUCUGUUUGACCGCUUUAUGCGCGCGGUGUGGAAUCCGCUUGUCGGGAGAAACACGCGCGUACGGGCAGAGCGCCGGGCUUUUUCCGGCGUCCAGCUCGCCACCGACGGCCCUUGAAACUUUGCCUGCUGAUUUAAAAUCCACGCCGUGGCGUACCGAUCACCGCAUCAGGUCCCCAAGGUGAACAGCCUCUGCUCCAUAUGAACAAUGCAGGUAAGGGAAGUCGGCAAAUUGGACCCGUAACUUUGGGAAAAGGGUUGGCUCUAGUGCUGCGUGGGAGUGGUUGUCUGGUUUCGUCGUUGAUUAGGGUGGCUCCCAGAGGUGCUUGGGUUUGGUCUCACGACCUGCCCUUGUGCUUCAGGAGCUCCUUGGUUACGGCGCGCUAGACGACGCCCACAGCAUGCAGCAAACUAGAACUGCAACGGGCAAAGGGAAUCCGACUGUUUAAUUAAAACAAAGCAUUGCGAAGGCCGUGGCCGGUGAUGACGCAAU